UCCGGAGGGGGAGAGGCAGGAAGAGGCUUCUCUGCCCUCCCACAGCCCGAAGCCAGCCCGACCGCCCCGUGACAAAGGCUGAGCUGAGCUGGAGUCAAUGUUGGCUGCUUCCACUACUCUUUGCUGGGCCCAAAACCUGUUGCCCAUCGUCACAGCUUGAAGAGUCCUGAAGUCCAAGAGCACGCCACUGAACACUCUCCUUGGAGCCCCAACCUCCAUUUCCCUUUUCCCCCAGCCUUGCCUAACUCCCUACUACCUUGCCCUUGCCCCAUGAUUUUACAGCUUCUGGAUUUCACUUACUAAGAGCUUGUCUCUUUGAGACUCAGACAGACCGCCCUGGACUGGGCUGCCUUCCAAGGUACAUGGGGACUGAGAACUGCUGACAGUCCAGGAGAAAGGCAAGCUCAGCUCCACUUCUGGUAAAGAGUUUGCUUUGAUGUGGCUGCUCCAAGUUGAGUUGAUCUUCCAGACUCCAAAGUGGGAGAGAGAUGUUGAACCUACUCUCAGCGUUCCUUCAAAAUCCACCUGUAAUACCCACCACUCCCAUCCCCCAUAACCAUGCCACUACACAAUAAACACCAUUCUAAGCACUUUAGUACAACUCACUUACUUAGUUCUCAUAACAGUUCUGAA
Molecule: long non-coding RNA, 633 nt
Organism: Myotis myotis
Lineage: Eukaryota; Metazoa; Chordata; Mammalia; Chiroptera; Vespertilionidae
Exons: 3
Source: RefSeq, a predicted model, not a curated record